Molecule: unclassified non-coding RNA, 845 nt
Filed under: Hevea brasiliensis (rubber tree)
Lineage: Eukaryota; Viridiplantae; Streptophyta; Magnoliopsida; Malpighiales; Euphorbiaceae
Source: RNAcentral
GACCAACCAAAUAAACAGAGUAGUAUUGCAAAUUAAAAUUGAACCACAUACAGGAAUUUGGGAUGGAAUAAUGGUGAACCAAAAAAAUCUCUUAGAUCACAUCAGAAUUCAGAACCAACAAAAAAGAACCUGGAAAAUGAAUAUUCAGUUGCUAAACAAGCUCGAUAUAUGCCAUCGGUGCAUUGUCCCCUCGCCUUGGUAGAGUUCUUAUUAUUCUAGUGUAUCCUCCAUUCCUCUCUCCAUAUCUUUCGGGAACUUCAGCAAACAAUGCAUGCACUAUCUGCUUCUCAUAGAUGAACCCAAGAGCUUGCCUUCUCUUAUGAAGAGAGCCAUCCUUCGCCAUUGUGACCAUUUUGUCUACAUAUUUUCUCACCGCCCUGGCCCUCGCUUUAGUGGUCUUUAUACGCCCAUGCUUGAGGAGCUGAGUUGUGAGACCUCUCAGAAGUGCUCGGCGCUGAUCAGGAGGUCUAUUCAGUUUGGGCACCUUCCUGCCAUGUCUCAUGGCAAAAACUCGGCCACCACUAUCAAUAAUGGUGAAUGAGUCCUCAAAACUUUUUGAGUCUUGAGAAGAAAGGGACAAAAGUGGAUGCAGGGGAGCAAGACCCACGAAGGACUGAAUAAUUGUUGAACUGGACUUGGGUUUGCAAAUCCUGAGACGAGAUGGAGAAGACCCAGAAGAGAAUCUAAGUGAUGAGUUUGAAAUUGGUUGAACUGUAGGGAGAGCCGAUUUCAAGCAAGACAUGCUCCAAGUUGCAGAAGCCAUAUCUUCCUAACUUUGAUUUCUUGCUUCUCUGCUUAUGUUCCGAAUGAGCUGUGGGUUUAUCUGAAUGGAUAAGUGAACUUUU